RNAcentral lists this ribosomal RNA (453 nucleotides) under uncultured Actinomycetes bacterium. RNAcentral's name for it is "bacterial SSU rRNA". It matches the Rfam family "Bacterial small subunit ribosomal RNA", at positions 433 to 896 of the family's 1533-position model. The record is from RNAcentral. Lineage: Bacteria; Bacillati; Actinomycetota; Actinomycetes.
CUUUCAGUAGGGAAGAAGCGAAAGUGACGGUACCUGCAGAAGAAGCGCCGGCUAACUACGUGCCAGCAGCCGCGGUAAUACGUAGGGCGCAAGCGUUAUCCGGAAUUAUUGGGCGUAAAGAGCUCGUAGGCGGUUUGUCGCGUCUGCCGUGAAAGUCCGGGGGCUCAACUCCGGAUCUGCGGUGGUACGGGGCAGACUAGAGUGAUGUAGGGGAGACUGGAAUCCUGGUGUAGCGGUGAAAUGCGCAGAUAUCAGGAGGAACACCGAUGGCGAAGGCAGGUCUCUGGGCAUUAACUGACGCUGAGGAGCGAAAGCAUGGGGAGCGAACAGGAUUAGAUACCCUGGUAGUCCAUGCCGUAAACGUUGGGCACUAGGUGUGGGGGACAUUCCACGUUUUCCGCGCCGUAGCUAACGCAUUAAGUGCCCCGCCUGGGGAGUACGGCCGCAAGGCUA